RNAcentral lists this ribosomal RNA (658 nucleotides) under uncultured bacterium. RNAcentral's name for it is "bacterial SSU rRNA". It matches the Rfam family "Bacterial small subunit ribosomal RNA", at positions 57 to 733 of the family's 1533-position model. The record is from RNAcentral.
GCAGUCGAGCGAGGAGAUUCCCUUCGGGGAUGAACCUAGCGGCGGACGGGUGAGUAACACGUGGGCAACCUGCCUUAUAGAGGGGAAUAGCCUUCCGAAAGGAAGAUUAAUACCGCAUAACAUUACAUUUUCGCAUGAAGAAGUAAUUAAAGGAGUAAUCCGCUAUAAGAUGGGCCCGCGGCGCAUUAGCUAGUUGGUGAGGUAACGGCUCACCAAGGCGACGAUGCGUAGCCGACCUGAGAGGGUGAUCGGCCACAUUGGGACUGAGACACGGCCCAGACUCCUACGGGAGGCAGCAGUGGGGAAUAUUGCACAAUGGGGGAAACCCUGAUGCAGCAACGCCGCGUGAGUGAUGAAGGUCUUCGGAUCGUAAAGCUCUGUCUUCAGGGACGAUAAUGACGGUACCUGAGGAGGAAGCCACGGCUAACUACGUGCCAGCAGCCGCGGUAAUACGUAGGUGGCGAGCGUUGUCCGGAUUUACUGGGCGUAAAGGGAGCGUAGGCGGAUUUUUAAGUGAGAUGUGAAAUACCCGGGCUCAACUUGGGUGCUGCAUUUCAAACUGGAAGUCUAGAGUGCAGGAGAGGAGAGUGGAAUUCCUAGUGUAGCGGUGAAAUGCGUAGAGAUUAGGAAGAACCCAGUGGCGAAGGGACUCUCUGGA